Molecule: ribosomal RNA, 163 nt
Filed under: Sciodaphyllum glabratum
Lineage: Eukaryota; Viridiplantae; Streptophyta; Magnoliopsida; Apiales; Araliaceae
Also listed under: 5 other names
Description: Schefflera glabrata 5.8S ribosomal RNA
Rfam family: 5.8S ribosomal RNA
About the family: 5.8S ribosomal RNA (5.8S rRNA) is a component of the large subunit of the eukaryotic ribosome.
Source: RNAcentral
AACGACUCUCGGCAACGGAUAUCUCGGCUCUCGCAUCGAUGAAGAACGUAGCGAAAUGCGAUACUUGGUGUGAAUUGCAGAAUCCCGUGAACCAUCGAGUCUUUGAACGCAAGUUGCGCCCGAAGCCGUUAGGCUGAGGGCACGUCUGCCUGGGCGUCACGCA